Molecule: long non-coding RNA, 252 nt
Filed under: Mytilus galloprovincialis (Mediterranean mussel)
Lineage: Eukaryota; Metazoa; Mollusca; Bivalvia; Mytilida; Mytilidae
Source: RNAcentral
GUGUUAUUAGUUUCUUAUGUUGAGAAUUUAGUUAUUUCCAUAUAUAAACGGAAACUACAAAAGAAUGAAGAAAGUGUCUCCAGCCCAAUUUGACCGUUAUUUGUGUUUGGUGGUAGCUUAUUAUAAGCAUUGUGUUUAAGUUUCACAAUAUUUAGUUGAAGCAAACUUAAGAUAGAGAACAGAAAAUCAGUGUCGUGAAUUGCGUACAUAUGUACAGGGGUAGACCAAAUUACCCCUUUACCUUGAAGCCGG